This 178-nucleotide ribosomal RNA is filed under the name Coriobacteriia bacterium. RNAcentral's name for it is "partial 16S ribosomal RNA". It matches the Rfam family "Bacterial small subunit ribosomal RNA", at positions 1 to 175 of the family's 1533-position model. The record is from RNAcentral. Lineage: Bacteria; Bacillati; Actinomycetota; Coriobacteriia.
UUCGAACGGAGAGUUCGAUCCUGGCUCAGGAUGAACGCUGGCGGCGCGCCUAACACAUGCAAGUCGAACGGUUAAAGCACCUCCGGGUGUGGAUAAAGUGGCGAACGGCUGAGUAACACGUGGGCAACCUGCCCCUCGCUCCGGGACAGCCUCGGGAAACCGUGGGUAAUACCGGAUA